This 493-nucleotide ribosomal RNA is filed under the name uncultured bacterium. RNAcentral's name for it is "partial 16S ribosomal RNA". It matches the Rfam family "Bacterial small subunit ribosomal RNA", at positions 29 to 523 of the family's 1533-position model. The record is from RNAcentral.
AUUGAACGCUGGCGGCAUGCUUUACACAUGCAAGUCGAGCGGUAACAGGUUAAGCUGACGAGUGGCGAACGGGUGAGUAAUGCAUCGGAACGUGCCCGGUCGUGGGGGAUAACGCAGCGAAAGCUGCGCUAAUACCGCAUACGAUCUGAGGAUGAAAGCGGGGGACCGUAAGGCCUCGCGCGAUCGGAGCGGCCGAUGUCAGAUUAGGUAGUUGGUGGGGUAAAGGCGCACCAAGCCAACGAUCUGUAGCUGGUCUGAGAGGACGACCAGCCACACUGGGACUGGGACACGGCCAAGACUCCUACGGGAGGCAGCAGUGGGGAAUUUUGGACAAUGGGCGAAAGCCUGAUCCAGCAAAGCCGCGUGCAGGAAGAAGGCCUUCGGGUUGUAAACUGCUUUUGUACGGAGCGAAAAGGUCUCCUCUAAUACAGGGGGCUCAUGACGGUACCGUAAGAAUAAGCACCGGCUAACUACGUGCCAGCAGCCGCAGUAA